AGCUAGGUCACUGCAUUAGUGAGAUAGCUAGGACACUGCAUUAGUGAGAUAGCUAGGACACUGCAUUAGUGAGAUAGCUAGGACACUGCAUUAGUGAGAUAGCUAGGUCACUGCAUUAGUGAGAUAGCUAGGACACUGCAUUAGUGAGAUAGCUAGGUCACUGCAUUAGUGAGAUAGCUAGGUCACUGCAUUAGUGAGAUAGCUAGGACACUACAUUAGUGAGAUAGCUAGGACACUGCAUUAGUGAGAUAGCUAGGACACUACAUUAGUGAGAUAGCUCGGUCACUGCAUUAGUGAGAUAGCUAGGACACUACAUUAGUGAGAUAGCUAGGACACUGCAUUAGUGAGAUAGCUAGGUCACUGCAUUAGUGAGAUAGCUAGGUCACUGCAUUAGUGAGAUAGCUAGGACACUACAUUAGUGAGAUAGCUAGGUCACUGCAUUAGUGAGAUAGCUAGGUCACUACAUUAGUGAGAUAGCUAGGACACUGCAUUAGUGAGAUAGCUAGGUCACUGCAUUAGUGAGAUAGCUAGGACACUACAUUAGUGAGAUAGCUAGGACACUGCAUUAGUGAGAUAGCUAGGACACUGCAUUAGUGAGAUAGCUAGGUCACUGCAUUAGUGAGAUAGCUAGGUCACUGCAUUAGUGAGAUAGCUAGGACACUGCAUGUUAGGACACUACAGCUAGGACACUACAUUAGUGAGAUAGCUAGGACACUGCAUUAGUGAGAUAGCUAGGACACUACAUUAGUGAGAUAGCUAGGACACUACAUUAGUGAGAUAGCUAGGUCACUACAUUAGUGAGAUAGCUAGGACACUGCAUUAGUGAGAUAGCUAGGACACUGCAUGUUAGGACACUACACUACGGCACUAUAACUGGCAAGAAUUCUACCCUGUCUUUCUUGUAGUGUUAAAUACGGUUUGUUCAUUAGGAAGGGCAUGUACCUAGGAAGAAAGGAAUGUAUGUGGGGGUAGAAGGAGAACGGAGAGGAGCAUUGGAACUGACCUGGAUGUAAAUCUGUGGAGAUAAGAGAGGACAGGGAGAGCCCCUCCAGAGCUCUAGUAUCUGGGGGAGCCUGGAACUGUCAGCUGAGUGGUAAUAAACUAUGGUGAGACUCAUGAGAAAAUCCCUAUGUUGGUGUGUGUGUAUGGAUGGAUGUUUAGGAUGGUAUCAUUUCUUACCUUUAACUAGGCAAGUCUGUUAAGAACAAAUUCUUAUUUUCAAUGACGGCCUAGGAACAGUGGGUUAACUGCCUGUUCAGGGGCAGAACGACAGAUUUGUACCUUGUCAGCUCGGGGGUUUGAACUCGCAACCUUCCGGUUACUAGUCCAACGCUCUAACCACUAGACUACCCGGCCGCCUCUACACUCUAACCACUAGGCUACC
Molecule: long non-coding RNA, 1384 nt
Organism: Oncorhynchus keta (chum salmon)
Lineage: Eukaryota; Metazoa; Chordata; Actinopteri; Salmoniformes; Salmonidae
Exons: 8
Source: RefSeq, a predicted model, not a curated record